AGUUUGACUGGGGCGGUCGCCUCCUAAAGAGUAACGGAGGCGCCCAAAGGUCCCCUCAGGUGGUAUAGAAAUCCACCGUUGAGUGUAAGGGCAUAAGGGGGCUUGACUGCGAGGCCGAUAGGCCGAGCAGGGGGGAAACCCGGGCCUAGUGACCCGGCGGUCCUGAGUGGAAGGGCCGUCGAUCAUCGGAUAAAAGUUACCCCGGGGAUAACAGGCUGAUCGCUCCCAAGAGUUCACAUCGACGGAGCGGUUUGGCACCUCGAUGUCGGCUCAUCCCAUCCUGGGGCUGGAGAAGGUCCCAAGGGUCGGGCUGUUCGCCCGUUAAAGGGGUACGUGAGCUGGGUUCAGAACGUCGUGAGACAGUUCGGUCCCUAUCCACCGCGGGCGCAGGAGGCUUGAGGGGAGCUGCCCCUAGUACGAGAGGACCGGGGUGGACGCACCUCUGGUGUCCCGGUUGUUCCACCAGGAGCAGAGCCGGGUAGCCAUGUGCGGAAGGGAUAACCGCUGAAAGCAUCUAAGCGGGAAGCCCACCCCAAGAUUAGGCCUCCCGAGGGUGGGGCAACCCACCCCCUGAAGGGCCCAGGGAGACUACCUGGUUGAUAGGCCAGAGGUGGAAGCCCAGCAAUGGGUGGAGCCUACUGGUACUAAUCGCCCGUGCGGCUUGGCUGC
This 669-nucleotide ribosomal RNA is filed under the name Thermodesulfobacterium commune. RNAcentral describes it as "bacterial LSU rRNA". It matches the Rfam family "Bacterial large subunit ribosomal RNA", at positions 2267 to 2925 of the family's 2925-position model. Lineage: Bacteria; Pseudomonadati; Thermodesulfobacteriota; Thermodesulfobacteria; Thermodesulfobacteriales; Thermodesulfobacteriaceae. The record is from RNAcentral.